AGUGUAACCAUGGAAACAGCAGUGAAGAGUCUCAUAAAAGCCUUCACUUCAGCUGAGUACAAAAUUAUUCGAUCCUGGAUCAUCAUCCGCCCUUAAAGAAAUAGGAACAAAACCAAGUCAUCUAUCUUGAAGGAAAUCUACUUACAGGAACAGAGUUAACCAACCAAACGCAUCGCUGAAGCAGACCAUCAGUGUUAAAAGGAGCACUUAAGAGCAAGUGAAAUGAAAAGCUACGGAUUGAAAACACAUACCUAGGCACACCGUACUGAUGGAAUUACAUGUUUCUUCUAAAUAACGUUAAGAUAACAGCUCCUCUAAGGCAUCUGUUACUUUUCACACAGCACUAAGACUGAACAGGAAGCUGUUCUGGAGACACGUUUGAUUAUUACCUAACAGUUUGUAAGGAUGCUGGUCUACAUUAAACAAGGGGACAUGAAAGACAGCAACACGUUCACGUUGCAUCAGUCACAAGGGACGGCCCUGUACAGAAUAGGAAAGCACAGUGCCUCAGCCUUCCCCAUCGUUACUAUUUUUUAAUAAAUUAGCAAACGUGCCAACUUC
Molecule: long non-coding RNA, 561 nt
Organism: Gallus gallus (chicken)
Lineage: Eukaryota; Metazoa; Chordata; Aves; Galliformes; Phasianidae
Exons: 2
Source: RefSeq, a predicted model, not a curated record